RNAcentral lists this ribosomal RNA (468 nucleotides) under uncultured bacterium. Its description in RNAcentral is "partial 16S ribosomal RNA". It matches the Rfam family "Bacterial small subunit ribosomal RNA", at positions 28 to 507 of the family's 1533-position model. The record is from RNAcentral.
GACGAACGCUGGCGGCGUGCUUAACACAUGCAAGUCGAACGGAAAGACCCUGCUUUUGUGGGGUGCUCGAGUGGCGAACGGGUGAGUAACACGUGAGUAACCUGCCCUUGACUUUGGGAUAACUUCAGGAAACUGGGGCUAAUACCGGAUAGCAGCUCCUGCUGCAUGGUGGGGGUUGGAAAGUUUCGGCGGUUGGGGAUGGACUCGCGGCUUAUCAGCUUGUUGGUGGGGUAGUGGCUUACCAAGGCUUUGACGGGUAGCCGGCCUGAGAGGGUGACCGGCCACAGUGGGACUGAGAUACGGCCCAGACUCCUACGGGAGGCAGCAGUGGGGAAUAUUGCACAAUGGGCGGAAGCCGGAUGCAGCAACGCCGCGUGCGGGAUGACGGCCUUCGGGUUGUAAACCGCUUUCGCCUGUGACGAAGCGUGAGUGACGGUAAUGGGUAAAGAAGCACCGGCUAACUACGUG